CUAUUAUGCAGAUUGUUAAUUAAAAUUAAUUAGUUUAAAGAUAUAUGAAAAAUAAUUUUUUGCUGGAGUAAUGUUUAAUAAAAUAAGUAGAAUUUGACUAUAGUUAAUAAGUACUGUGAAGGAAUUUAUAACACACCAUGUGAAUAGGUAUAGUAGCUUUAAAUUUGCGUACCUUGUGCAUUAGGAAAAAUCGAUAUAAGCUAUCAAGGGUAGUUCUCUCGAAAUAAAAAUAGCUAACUUUAUAUAAUCUUCUUUGUAAAAUAAAAAUGUUUAAUAUGAAUUUAGGAGUGAAAUGCUAUUCGAGUUUUAUAAUAUCUAGUUCCUCUCAAAAUAAAUUUAAUUUAAGCUAUGCAGAUAUUUAACUGUGUAGACAAAGUACAGGAGGGAUUAGCUUCUUGUAUAAAGUAUAUUAAAUAGUAAUUUAUUCAAUAUAACUGUUUAAACUAAGCUUAAAAGUAGCUAGGUUAAUAAUGUGUUUUAAUUAAAUCUUAAUUGUAAAAAUAUUUUUGAGUCACUUUUGUAAUGUAAUAUAGAGGAACUUUGCAAAACUUAAAAGUAGAGGAUAAAAUGAUUUUAUUAGUAAAUUUUAUGUCAAAUAACUGUAUUAUAAUAGCUGGUAUAAUAUAAUGGUAAUAUGAAAAUACAAAGGAACUCGGCAAAUAAUUUUCUUGCCUGUUUAUCAAAAACAUGUCUGUUUGAAGGUAUAAAAAGUCCGGCCUGCCCACUGACAUUAUUUUUUUAAAGGGCCGCGGUACUCUGACCGUGCAAAGGUAGCAUAAUAGUUAGGUUUUUAAUUGAGAUCUUGUAUGAAUGGUUUGACAAGGAAAAGUCUGUCUUUGUAUUUAUUUAUUGAAUUUAACUUUUAAGUGAAAAGGCUUAAAUGAGUUAGGGGGACGAUAAGACCCUAUAAAACUUUAUAUAAUUCUGUUAGUUAAUUGAAUUCUCUUUUUUUAUAAAAUUUAACUGAAACCUUUAUAUUAUGUUGGGGCGACAAAGAUAAAAAUUAAGAUAACUGUUUAAAGUUCAGACAAUCAUGUUUGAUUAUAAUUUUAAAUGAUCCUGUCUAAAGAUUAAAAGUUUAAGUUACUUUAGGGAUAACAGCGUUAUUUUUUUUGAGAGUUCUUAUCGAAAAAAGAGUUUGCGACCUCGAUGUUGAAUUAAAAUUUCUAUACAAUUGCAGAAGUUGUAUAAGAGGGUCUGUUCGACCUUUAAAUUUUUACAUGAUUUGAGUUCAAACCGGCGUGAGCCAGGUUGGUUUCUAUCUCUUAAUAAAUAAAAGUUGCUUUAGUACGAAAGGAUUAAGUAACUAAAAUUAUUUUUUUUGUGUUAU
Molecule: ribosomal RNA, 1330 nt
Filed under: Scopimera intermedia
Lineage: Eukaryota; Metazoa; Arthropoda; Malacostraca; Decapoda; Dotillidae
Description: 16S ribosomal RNA
Rfam family: Bacterial large subunit ribosomal RNA (bases 887-1268)
Source: RNAcentral